RNAcentral lists this ribosomal RNA (253 nucleotides) under uncultured bacterium. RNAcentral describes it as "partial 16S ribosomal RNA". It matches the Rfam family "Bacterial small subunit ribosomal RNA", at positions 524 to 776 of the family's 1533-position model. The record is from RNAcentral.
UACGUAGGGUGCGAGCGUUAAUCGGAAUUACUGGGCGUAAAGCGUGCGCAGGCGGUUAUGCAAGACAGAUGUGAAAUCCCCGGGCUCAACCUGGGGACUGCAUUUGUGACUGCAUAGCUAGAGUACGGUAGAGGGGGAUGGAAUUCCGCGUGUAGCAGUGAAAUGCGUAGAUAUGCGGAGGAACACCGAUGGCGAAGGCAAUCCCCUGGACCUGUACUGACGCUCAUGCACGAAAGCGUGGGGAGCAAACAGG